ACGCAAGUCUGAUGGAGCAACGCCGCGUGAGUGAAGAAGGCUUUCGGGUCGUAAAACUCUGUUGUUGGAGAAGAAUGGUCGGCAGAGUAACUGUUGUCGGCGUGACGGUAUCCAACCAGAAAGCCACGGCUAACUACGUGCCAGCAGCCGCGGUAAUACGUAGGUGGCAAGCGUUAUCCGGAUUUAUUGGGCGUAAAGCGAGCGCAGGCGGUUUUUUAAGUCUGAUGUGAUAGCCCUCGGCUUAACCGAGGAAGUGCAUCGGAAACUGGGAAACUUGAGUGCAGAAGAGGACAGUGGAACUCCAUGUGUAGCGGUGAAAUGCGCAGAUAUAUGGAAGAACACCAGUGGCGAAGGCGGCUCUCUGGUCUGCAACUGACGCUGAGGCUCGAAAGCAUGGGUAGCGAACAGGAUUAGAUACCCUGGUAGUCCAUGCCGUAAACGAUGAGUGCUAAGUGUUGGGAGGUUGUCCGCCUCUCAGUGCUGCAGCUAACGCAUUAAGCACUCCGCCUGGGGAGUACGACCGCAAGGUUGAAACUCAAAGGAAUUGACGGGGGCCCGCACAAGCGGUGGAGCAUGUGGUUUAAUUCGAAGCAACGCGAAGAACCUUACCA
This 611-nucleotide ribosomal RNA is filed under the name Lacticaseibacillus rhamnosus. RNAcentral describes it as "bacterial SSU rRNA". It matches the Rfam family "Bacterial small subunit ribosomal RNA", at positions 375 to 976 of the family's 1533-position model. The record is from RNAcentral. Lineage: Bacteria; Bacillati; Bacillota; Bacilli; Lactobacillales; Lactobacillaceae.